This is a long non-coding RNA of Dreissena polymorpha, 3284 nucleotides long. RefSeq lists it as uncharacterized. The record is from RefSeq and is a predicted model, not a curated record. The transcript has 3 exons. Lineage: Eukaryota; Metazoa; Mollusca; Bivalvia; Myida; Dreissenidae.
AAUGACAUCACUUUCCCCACGAGCCAAAUAUUUCCCGCUAUAUUUGUGACAUUUUAACACAAACGUUUACAGUGAUGUGGUUCUUACAUUUGCAAAACAUUGAGAGUAGGGAUGGUUUUCAUGUUGAUUUUUCUAAAUAAAAACAAAAUAUGUGCGUUAAGAUCAUGAAAAUGAUUUUACAUAGGUGGCCGAUUUUUUACGUACAGGCCGGAAUUACGUACAUGACCAGUAUGUAUUUAAUAAUUGUAGAAAAAUCACCUUAAUUGUUUCUAUAUUGUUCUCAUUUGAUUACAAUGUUGUUCGAUUGGUCAUUGUCAGCUCGGAUACUACUUACCUGUACCCCGGGUACUCUUUAAGUAUACUUACAUGUAGAGCUAACCCUGUUACAGUUAAUAUACUUUAAUAUAGCCGGAAAUUUAAUGCUAAAUGGGUUGUUGUACGCUUAAUUUUUUUAAAUAUGUUCACAUUAAUGUCAUUUUUUUUCUCAAAUAGUCUUUAUAUCAUCGAAAUUUAUACUCAAAAAGCAUAUUGAUGCAGUUUUUUCAAAAGGUAAGUUUAAUUUAGAUAAACAAUAUGGCUUUACAUUUAUCUGUAGUGCACUGUACCACAUCGAAUUAUGGGCAAUAAUACAACUCGGGUACAGUCUAAUAAGGACCGGGUACGUUUAAGUAUAUUAACCUUACCCGAGGUACAUGCAAGUAUGCUUAAUGAUACCAGGGGUACAUGUAAGUAGUACCCAAGCUGUGAAUAACCAAUCGAGCGUGAGUAAAGUAGAUUGUACCUUAUGUCUUUAAUAAUUGCAGAACAAUUACCUUAAUUAUUUCUAUAUUGUUUCCAUUUGAUUACAAUUUAUUUAUUUGUCAAAUUCAAUUCUGUAGUGCUAUAAAUAUGCACCCCCCAUCCAAAAAAUUUAUUUCGUGCAUAUUGAUGGGGCUUUUUUAUUUAUUUACUCCUUUUCUGCAUUCCUCCCUUUUGUGUUGGUAAUGUGAACAUGAAAUGAUGAGCACUUUCAUGUUAAUGAAUAACUUUUAUUUUUUUUAUAGAUUUUGGCAUAUUGCCAAGGGAGAUGUUUACUGAGGAUUCCAUGCCAUUAAUGUGCAGGCUGUUGCUGACGCCAGCAUGAGCAAUAUCUGAGCACCAAUGAUGAGGGUCAUCUGCUGGGAGAUAGUGGGUAUCCGUUAAGGACUAACCUGAUGACCCCUUAACCUCAUCCCUCCCAUGCUGCGGAACAGGCCUACAAUGACCAUCUAUGUAGAGGAUAUCUGCAUGCCACUGGUGGAUGUUGGCCUUUCAAGUCCAAUAAGUGCUGUGAAAUAUCAACAUGCCCCUGCAUAACCUGUGUCUGGAUUCAAACGUUCCACUGAUAGAGGAAUUGGUUGGAAAUGUGAUGGAACCGGAAGUUAUGAACAACACACCAGUACAUCAAGCAGCAUGUGAUAAGAGGCAGCAGCUGAUCAAACUGUUUCAUAAAAUGUGUUAAAAAUUUAUAGUUAUAAAUGUUAUAAAGUGAUAGAUGGCUCGAGUCUUCUCUGAAUAGGCAGAGCUACACUACUCAGCCAAAUGGCGUAAAGUUGUGUCAUAGCUGAUUUGGAAGGAUUGGUAUUCCUGGUCGUCUAGACACAAUAGUUACAACAGCUGAUGUUUGCAUGUUUUAUAAUUGUGUAUGCAUAAUUUGUCUAAUAUUUACUUCAAGGUUAUAGGUUUGUGAAAGAAAAAAAUGUCAAUGUUCUGAGGACCAAUAAAAAAGUUAUGUGUUAGGUAUUACCAAGUGCUUGAUUUAAUAUUUAUUUUAAUGGGAACUUUUCCUAAAUUUUGGCAGAUAUUCAAGUUUUUCAUUAAACGCUUUUAUAUUGAUACAUGUAAACACUGGAUCUAAAAAGCUCCAGUAAAAAAAGAAUACAAUUAAAGAAAGAUAAAAAGUAACUCCUACAGGGCUCAAACCACUGACCCCUGAAGUAAAAGCCUCACACUAAGACCACUUGUCCGUCCAUGUUGAUACAAUGAGUGAUGUAUUUUACACUUUAUAUAAGCAAUCCUCAUCGUGUCACAAAAUAUUACGACAACAACAGAACUCUACAAAUUAUUCAAUCGUCGAGUGUUGCAGCAGAUAGUUGCAACGCUUUAAAAUUUUCAAGUUUUUAAAUCGUCAAAAGUUGCAUAUAAUGGAUAUUUUAGAGCAUGGUAAAUGUUCAGUAUUACUGUUUCCUCACAAAUAUCAUAACUACAACAAAUGUUUGCGAAUCUUAAACUUAUUUUUUUUAAUUUAGUCAAUUUACCAAAACUGGAAAAGGUCCCUUGAAUAUUGAACAGUUAUCUGAGCUCCAGAAAAGAUCAUAUACUCAAGGUACUUUUCCCCAUUAACAAUUAUUCAAGUGAUAUUUUACCCACUGACUUUCGCUCUAAAAGGUGUUCUCUGUAAUGAACAUUCUCAAAGCCACAUUAAAACAAGGGCUGUUAGUAAAACAUGCAUGCCCCCCAUAUGGGCUGUCAGUUGUAGUGGCAGUCAUUGUGUGAAUACGUUUUUUUGUCACUGUGAACUUGACCUUUGACUUAGUGACCUGAAAAUCAAUAGGAGUCAUCUGCCAGACAUGAUCAAUGUACCUACGAAGUUUCAUAAUCCUAGCUGUUGGCAUUCUUGAGUUACCAUCCGGAAACUAUUUUACUAUUUUGAGUCACCGUGACCUUGACAUUUGACCUAGUGACCUGAAAAUCAAUAGGGGUCAUCUGCAAGUCAUGAUCAAUGUACCUAUGAAGUUUCAUGAUCCUAGGCGUAAGCAUUCUUAAUUCAUCAUCUGGAAAUCAUUUUACUGUUUCAACUCACUGUGACCUUGACCUUUGACUUAGUGACCUGACAAUCAAUAGGGGUCAUCUGCCAGUCAUGAUUAAUCUACCUAUGAAGUUUCAUGAUCCUAUGUCCUAAGAUUUCUUGAGUUAUCUAUCAUCCGGAAACCAUCUGGUGGACAGACCGACCAAGCAAAACAAUAUACCCCCUCUUCUUUGAAGGGGGGCAUAAAAAGUGGGCUUGUAAAUGUAACGGUACUUUAUAAUAAUAAGUGUGCUGUCUAUAAAUAUGGAUAUUAUUGUCAUAAAAAAUAGAAGUUUUCCAAUAUAUUAGAUUGUUUCCGAAUGUAUUUACUAAACUUUACCCCUUUAUGAGUCUCUGUUCAAUUAUUUGGUCAUCUACCGUUAAAAUGUUGUUUACCUGUGCAUUUUUUUUGUAUUUUUAUUGAAAUGUUUAUGAUAAUAAUGUUUAUGGUAUUUGAUAACAGUUGCUAUUACACUAG